Molecule: long non-coding RNA, 247 nt
Filed under: Carica papaya (papaya)
Lineage: Eukaryota; Viridiplantae; Streptophyta; Magnoliopsida; Brassicales; Caricaceae
Description: long non-coding RNA (CPAP_LNC016560)
Source: RNAcentral
UCAUGAAAACAACCUAUAAAGACAAUAACAUCAUACAGAUCAUAAUUUCAUGCAUAAUCAACCAUCAUGGUAUAUAUUAUAAAUCCAUAUCUAUUAACAAUAGACGAACUCGUAACCGUUUCUCGUUUCACCAGCCUACUAGUAUCCAUGGGGAUCCAUAGGGGUGUCCCCGCUAUACGUGAACCCUUUCUCUUAACAGUCUUAAUUAUAUAGCCGUCUUCAUACCCCGUCCGGUAUGAGUACCGAG